ACGGCUCAGUAACACGUAGUCAACCUAACCUAUGGACGGGAAUAACCUCGGGAAACUGAGAAUAAUGCCCGAUAGAACACUAUACCUGGAAUGGUUUGUGUUCCAAAUGAUUUAUCGCCAUAGGAUGGGACUGCGGCCUAUCAGUUUGUUGGUGAGGUAAUGGCCCACCAAGACUAUUACAGGUACGGGCUCUGAGAGGAGUAGCCCGGAGAUGGGUACUGAGACACGGACCCAGGCCCUAUGGGGCGCAGCAGGCGAGAAAACUUUGCAAUGUGCGAAAGCACGACAAGGUUAAUCCGAGUGAUUUCUGCUAAAGAGAUCUUUUGUUAGUCCUAGAAACACUAACGAAUAAGGGGUGGGCAAGUUCUGGUGUCAGCCGCCGCGGUAAAACCAGCACCUCAAGUGGUCAGGAUGAUUAUUGGGCCUAAAGCAUCCGUAGCCGGCUCUGUAAGUUUUCGGUUAAAUCUGUACGCUCAACGUACAGGCUGCCGGGAAUACUGCAGAACUAGGGAGUGGGAGAGGUAGACGGUACUCGGUAGGAAGUGGUAAAAUGCUUUGAUCUAUCGAUGACCACCUGUGGCGAAGGCGGUCUACCAGAACACGUCCGACGGUGAGGGAUGAAAGCUGGGGGAGCAAACCGGAUUAGAUACCCGGGUAGUCCCAGCUGUAAACUAUGCAAACUCAGUGAUGCAUUGGCUCGUGGCCAAUGCAGUGCUGCAGGGAAGCCGUUAAGUUUGCCGCCUGGGAAGUACGUACGCAAGUAUGAAACUUAAAGGAAUUGGCGGGGGAGCAC
This 793-nucleotide ribosomal RNA is filed under the name uncultured archaeon. RNAcentral's name for it is "bacterial SSU rRNA". It matches the Rfam family "Archaeal small subunit ribosomal RNA", at positions 85 to 879 of the family's 1478-position model. The record is from RNAcentral.